Molecule: long non-coding RNA, 1577 nt
Filed under: Marmota monax (woodchuck)
Lineage: Eukaryota; Metazoa; Chordata; Mammalia; Rodentia; Sciuridae
Source: RNAcentral
UGACGCUGGGAGGGGCACCAGGAAGCUCAGCGGAAGUCCUGGUUUGCCAUUUCUGACGUCAGCAUCUUCUGAUGCCCUUUCUUGGGCUGGGAGCUGGGAAGGGCAGAGGUAAUGUGGUCAGUUCUGUGAACUCCCACGGAAGACAGUGCGGAGCUCAGGGGUGCCUUGGUAAACACGCGGCAGCUCUUUCCUCUUGGCUCAGCCCCAACUUGCACAUCCCUGGAGCAUCCACCCCUGCUUUGUGUCCACAUCACUAUUCGGUUCUUCCUUUUAAGGCAUGACAUUUACUUACGUAUCUGCCCUCCUACCAGGAAGCCUUAGUUUCAGUUCUGACAAUCAGCACAGAGCUCACUACCUGCCAGAUGCCCCGUGAGCAUGCUUGGAGCAUCUUUGGAAUGCUUAGGUUCCCAACAGCCUCCCAGAGGGGUGGGGAGCACAGAGCAGCUGCUGACUUGAGUUUCAUGCAGUCCACCGGGUGCAAAGACACCCUGAAUACUGUGGCAGGAGGGCACAACAUUGGAGAACACUCAGCUCUUCCCCAGGGCACUACUGCCCACAGGGUGUUUACUUUGCACAUCUGCUUGGGUGCCCACCCCAACUUAUGCCUUCUCAAUCGCAAGUCCUGGUUUGAAUCCUAGUGUAGAGCCUGGCCCAUCCCUGGUGUUGGUAAAUGCCUGUGUGUGUGCCUGCUCCAUGUCCGGGUCUGUGUGCCAUUGCUGUCCAUCAUUUGCUGUACAACAGCUGCUUGGGCAAUGUACUGCUUGGCCCCUUCCCUACACAUCCUUGGGACAGGGGCCCCAGGGAUGGAUUAUCCUCCUCAUUUACUCUAAACAUCUUUUCUGGAAACUGAUCCUGGAUCCCUUGGCUCUGAAGCAUGGAAAGCCAAACGUGUAACCUGCUUUGAUGGGUGGAGGAAAGGAAAUAUGCAUUCUCUUUUAGAGAGCUUGAGAAAUUCUCAGAAAAAAAAAAGUUAGCUGGCCUCCCAUAUCGACCCAAUGGUACCUGGAUGACCAUAUCCUCCUGUCCAUUUUCUCCCUCACUUUCUUUCAACAAGCCACUACCUGGAUGGGCACCACUCCAAGUCAAGUGUGAGAAAAAAUACCUCUUUCCUUCCACCAGGAGCUCCUUUCUUUCAGAGAAGCUGCUGGCUCUGCAGGGAACGAUCUUGCAGAUCGUUGGCGUCCUAGGCCCAGCUAAAGCUGCAGGAACGGACGGAUUCUGUAGAGGAAGAGGAAAUCUCUCAAGUCAGUCCCAGGGCUCGUGAUUUCUUGCUUGCUAUGGUUUGUAUGUGGUUUUCCCCCAAGGGUCCAUGUGCUGGAGGCUUGGUCCCGAGGGUGGCAGUAUGGGAGGUGGUAAAACCUUUAAGAGGUGGGACCUAGUGCGAGGUUCUUAGGUCAUGGGAGUUCUGAGCCUGGACCCACUCAACUCUCUCUGGCUUCCUGUAUCAAGAUAUAAUUUCUUGCUCCAGUACACACUCUUGUCAUUGCCAUCCACUGUGACGUGGUGCCGCCUAGAGGAGUCACAAGGCUGAGGGUGUGCCAUGCCUUUGGACCUCCAAAACUGUGAGCUAAAUAAAC